This 468-nucleotide ribosomal RNA is filed under the name uncultured bacterium. RNAcentral's name for it is "partial 16S ribosomal RNA". It matches the Rfam family "Bacterial small subunit ribosomal RNA", at positions 28 to 507 of the family's 1533-position model. The record is from RNAcentral.
GACGAACGCUGGCGGCGUGCUUAACACAUGCAAGUCGAACGGAAAGGCCCUGCUUUUGUGGGGUGCUCGAGUGGCGAACGGGUGAGUAACACGUGAGUAACCUGCCCUUGACUUUGGGAUAACUUCAGGAAACUGGGGCUAAUACCGGAUAGGAGCUCCUGCUACAUGGUGGGGGUUGGAAAGUUUCGGCGGUUGGGGAUGGACUCGCGGCUUAUCAGCUUGUUGGUGGGGUAGUGGCUUACCAAGGCUUUGACGGGUAGCCGGCCUGAGAGGGUGACCGGCCACAUUGGGACUGAGAUACGGCCCAGACGGCUACGGGAGGCAGCAGUGGGGAAUAUUGCACAAUGGGCGGAAGCCUGAUGCAGCAACGCCGCGUGCGGGAUGACGGCCUUCGGGUUGUAAACCGCUUUCGCCUGUGACGAAGCGUGAGUGACGGUAAUGGGUAAAGAAGCACCGGCUAACUACGUG